Molecule: small nuclear RNA, 137 nt
Organism: Chelonoidis abingdonii (Abingdon island giant tortoise)
Lineage: Eukaryota; Metazoa; Chordata; Testudines; Testudinidae
Product: U4 spliceosomal RNA
Source: RefSeq, a predicted model, not a curated record
AGCUUUGUGCAGUGGCAGUAUCGUAGCUAAUGAGGUUAAUCCGAGGUGUGAUUAUUGCUAGGGAAAUCCCUUUGCUCGCCUGUGCAGAGUCCGGUCUCAAACUUAACAGGUAAAGGCAACAUCUGGAGCCAAGCUUG